AUGGAGGGAGGCGAGGACCCGCCCACGCGCCUCAUUGGCAACUUCCUCCGGAAGCAGAGGGCGUCCGGCGCAAAGCCGUCGCUCGACCUCGACCCGGAGAUGGAGGAGCUCGGGAGGCCGUCGCACGGCGCUCGGCGUGUCUCCUUCGAGGACGAACACCAAAAACACAUCUCCUUCGACUCCGACUCCAACUCUGACUCUGACGCGGAGGGCAGCGGUAGGCGCGCCGACGAGAUGGUACGCUGCAAAUCUACCUCCACGGGAAAGGGACCGUUAUUGCGAGCCCAGACGCGCUCCCGGCUCAUGGACCCGCCGCCGGCGCCACCCGCGGCAGCUCCUGCCAUCGACAAGAAGCACAAGUCGUCCGCCUCACGGUCCCCUAAGCCCAGCCAGUCUCCCGCAUGGCGCUGGUCGGGUCCGAUGGACGGGGAGGAGGAGGACCCAUUCGUGGACGAGGACAUCCCCGACGACUUCAACUUGAAGAGUGGCAAGCUGGGCGCUCUCACCAUCUUGCAGUGGGUCAGCUUGGUGCUCCUCGUCGGGGCGUUGGUUUGCAGUGUCACCAUAAGGAUCUUGUCCAGGAAGAAGGUGUGGGAGCUGCAGCUCUGGAAGUGGGAGCUCCUCGCGCUCGCGCUCGUCUGCGGCCGUCUCGUCUCCGGGUGGGCCAUCCGGAUCGCCAUGUUCUGCGUGGGGCGCAACUUGUUGCUGCGCAAGCGCGUGCUCUACUUCGUCUACGGCGUCCGCAGCGCCGUGCAGAACACGCUCUGGCUUGGCCUCGUUCUCGCGGCCUGGCAUUUCUUGUUUGACGACAAGUGCCAACUCGCGCACAUGGUGGUGGUGUCCUAUGUUAUGAAGAUACUAUUCUGCUUGCUCGUCGCCACCCUCAUCCGGCUCGUCAAGACGCUGCUGCUCAAGGUGCUCGCCUCGUCCUUCCAUGUCUCCACCUACUUUGACCGGAUUCAAGCGUCAUUGUUCAACCAAUAUGUCACUGAGACGCUCUCGGGGCCGCAACUAGUUGAAGAACAAGGCCCCAUGUUUGCUGAGCCGAGUGAUCUCCAUGCCGCGAUGCCAACCAAGAAUCUAUCGGGGCUAAGGAGCUUUCCGCCAUCGGUUUCAAUGUCUAAGCAGCAGGGCCAAGGAAGCAAGCAACUAUCCAAGGAGAAAAGACAGCAUCAGAUUGAUGAAGGGAUAAGCAUUGACAAGCUCCAUAAGCUCAAUCGGAGCAACGUCUCAGCCUGGAACAUGAAAAGGUUGAUGAAGAUUAUUCGGUCUGGGACGCUCACCACUAUAGAUGAGCAGAUAAAGCAGGCAACAGGAGAAGGGGAUUUGUCAGCGACACAUAUUCGCAGCGAAUACGAGUCACAGAUGGCCGCAAAGAAGAUCUUCCAUAACGUAGCCAAGCAUCGAUCCAAGUACAUAUACUUAGCAGACUUGAUGCACUUCAUGAGGCAGGAGGAAGCCAUCAAAGCAAUGCAUCUUUUCGAAGGAGGACAAGAGUACAAUAGGAUCAGCAAGAGGUCUCUAAAAAACUGGAUGGUGAAUGCAUUUAGAGAGCGCAAAGCCCUUGCUCUAACACUUAAUGAUACAAAAGUUGCAGUAUCCAAGCUCAACCAGAUGACUAAUGUAGUUGGUGGCAUCAUCGUGUUUGUUCUCUGGCUCCUUAUUCUUGGCAUAGCGACAACGAAUUUACUUGUCUUCCUCAGUUCACCAUUUUUGGUGGCAGUUAUUGUAUUUGGAGACACUUUGAAGGCAGUUUUUGAGGCAAUUGUUUUCUUAUUUGUGAUGCAUCCUUUUGAUGUUGGUGACCGCUGUGAAAUCGAGGAAGUUCAGGUUGUUGUCGAGGAAAUGAAUAUCUUGACAACAGUCUUCCUUCGAUAUGACAACCUGAAGAUAUAUUAUCCAAACAAUAUACUGGCCACCAUACCGAUUAUGAAUUUUUACAGGAGUCCAGACAUGGGAGAAGGAAUUGACUUCUAUAUUCACGUUGCCACGCCGGUAGCGAAACUAGCACUCAUGAAAGAAAGAAUUCUACGUUACAUCAACAACAAGAAAGAGCAUUGGUACCCGGGGGCGAUGGUUGUCCUCCGGGAUGUAGAUGAGACCAACAAGCUAAAAGUAUCCAUAUGGCUCUGUCACACGCUCAACUUCCAGGACAUGGGGAUGAGGUACGUGAGGAGGGAGCUGGUGCUCCAGGAGAUGAUCAAAGUUCUCAAGGACCUGGACAUUGAGUAUCGGAUGCUACCACUGGACGUGAAUGUGCGGAAUGCGCCUCCUAUUGAAUCCACAAGGAUGCCGACAACAUGGAAUUAUUCCUGA
RNAcentral lists this ribosomal RNA (2316 nucleotides) under Triticum aestivum (bread wheat). Its description in RNAcentral is "partial small subunit ribosomal RNA". The record is from RNAcentral. Lineage: Eukaryota; Viridiplantae; Streptophyta; Magnoliopsida; Poales; Poaceae.